CUAGGAUCAGGUUUAGGGUUAGGGUUAGGAGCUAGGAUCACGUUUAGGUUGAGGGUUAGGAGCUAGGAUCAGGUUUAGGGUGAGGGUUAGGAGCUAGGAUCAGGUUUAGGGUGAGGAUUUGGAGCUAGGAUCUUUAAGGUUAGGUUUUAGGGUUAGGUUUUAAGGUCAGGUUUUAGGGUUAAAGUUAGGUUUUAAGGUUAAGGUUAGGUUUUAGGGUUAAGGUCAGGUUUUAGGCUUAAGGUCAGGUUUAGGUUUUAUGGUUACGUUUGAAGUUUAAGGUUAGGUUUUAGGUUUAACGUUAGGUUUUAGGGUUAAGGUCAGGUUUUAGGCUUAAGGUCAGGUUUAGGUUUUAUGGUUAAGUUUGAAGUUUAAGGUUAGGUUUUAGGUUUAACGUUAGGUUUUAAAUGGGACUGAAUUGUGUGUCCCCACAAGGUUAGUUAUACAAGACUGUGUGUGUGUGUGUGUGUGUGCCUGUGAAGACUGCAGGGUCUAAUCUUCAGAGAGUAGAUGAAUAGGGGUUAUUAGCCAUGCAGAACACUAAACGAUACAUUUAGAGAUUCUAGAGUUCUGGGAAUGCUUUCUGAUUGGAUAGACAUGGUUUGGAUUCUGAUUGGAUAGACAUGGUUAGUAUUCGGAUUGGAUAGACAGGGUUAGGAUUCGGAUUGGAUAGACAGGGUUAGGAUUCGGAUUGGAUAGACAGGGUUAGGAUUCUGAUUGGAUAGACAGGGUUAGGAUUCGGAUUGGAUAGACAGGGUUAGGAUUCUGAUUGGAUAGACAGGGUUAGGAUUCUGACUGGAUAGACAGGGUUAGGAUUCUGAUUGGAUAGACAGG
Long non-coding RNA from Oncorhynchus tshawytscha (Chinook salmon), 831 nucleotides. The record is from Ensembl. Lineage: Eukaryota; Metazoa; Chordata; Actinopteri; Salmoniformes; Salmonidae.